UACAGAGGUCCCGAGCGUUGUUCGGAUUCACUGGGCGUAAAGGGUGCGUAGGUGGUGAGGAAAGUCGGAUGUGAAAUCUCCGGGCUUAACCCGGAAAUGGCAUUGGAAACUACCUUGCUAGAGGUUUUGAGGGGGACUGGAAUUCUCGGUGUAGCAGUGAAAUGCGUAGAUAUCGAGAGGAACACCGGUGGCGAAGGCGAGUCCCUGGAAAACACUUGACACUGAGGCACGAAAGCUAGGGGAGCAAACAGG
RNAcentral lists this ribosomal RNA (252 nucleotides) under uncultured bacterium. Its description in RNAcentral is "partial 16S ribosomal RNA". It matches the Rfam family "Bacterial small subunit ribosomal RNA", at positions 524 to 776 of the family's 1533-position model. The record is from RNAcentral.